Molecule: long non-coding RNA, 222 nt
Filed under: Sorghum bicolor (sorghum)
Lineage: Eukaryota; Viridiplantae; Streptophyta; Magnoliopsida; Poales; Poaceae
Description: long non-coding RNA (SBIC_LNC014293)
Source: RNAcentral
ACUGUUAAGGCAUGAAACCACUGCAGAAACUCUUGAGUUUGUCCUUGCUCAGGGACGAGCAAGAGGUAAGCUUGGGGGAGUUAUUGACGGUCCUUAAGUACCAAAUAUAAUCAUCAAAUAAAUAAAGAAAAGGAUCCAAAUGCAACCAACACCCAGACUUAGGGUUUUAUCUGACAGAAUUCCACGAGUUUUGGUGUUUGUCUAUUUCUGCAGGGGGUUAUC